CAUGCCUGGAGGCCCAUCGAGUCUGUUCAUACCUCAGCAAUUUGACAUUGACUGCACGGUUCAUUUGAGAGAUAACAUCCCCUCUGUUAGAGAUCACAUCCCCAGCAGACUAAAGCAGUCUACCUAUCCCAGGACAGAACUGGCAUUCUGCAUUGCCUCGUGACUCAUUGUAAAGCUCUUUGAGAUGGUCCUCAACCGGAAAAGGCAUCUGUGUGGAAUAAAACUGAUGUUAG
Molecule: long non-coding RNA, 233 nt
Filed under: Lepisosteus oculatus (spotted gar)
Lineage: Eukaryota; Metazoa; Chordata; Actinopteri; Semionotiformes; Lepisosteidae
Description: lncRNA (ENSLOCG00000023025.1)
Source: RNAcentral